AGGGGGAGGCGCACGCCGUGCUUGUGUGCUCUGCUCAGACCUUUCACCUAGAUGCUCAAAAGUGCCACAGCCUAGCCUUGGUUUCCGAGGGGUGCAUCCGAUUCUCUGCUUUCCCUGGUGCAGCGCACACACAAACUGCACGUUAUUUGCAGUCCAGGAACGUGAGUGAAGCUGGCCUCGCCCGACGACUGCGCAAUGCUUGGCGAAGGGGCGUUACCGGUGAAGCCAUCCGCCGCCAAAAAGCAUACAGUAUGGUGAUUCUAUCCCAGCCUUCUCCAGCCUGAUGCCCAUCGAAUGAGUUGAGACUACAGCUCCUUUCCUGACCGUUGGCCAUCCUGAGGGGGACUGACUGGAGCUGAAAUCCAAAAAAUGUGGAAGGCAGCAGCUGGUGUUGUUGAAGGCUUUGAUCUCAUGAAUUCCUGUGGGCAGCUCUCGGCUGAGCCGCUCUACCCUUCACAUGGCCCCUCACUGAAAGAACUCAAAACCCUUCGAAAGCGACAGAGAGGUGGAAGGCAGGGCAGGGAAAAAAAUAGCCUACUCCGUCAAAGCAGCUGUGUCUUCCCCCUGAAGAAUACUGGAAGCAAAGAAGAUGACUUGAUUCCCCAAGGAUCAUACAACUGAAAGCUAUUAUUUCCUAUUUCCUAUCAAUAGAAGACAUUGUAUAAAAGUAAAGUUUGGCAUCUCGGGAGUGCCAUGCCUGAGAUAAACAGCC
Varanus komodoensis (Komodo dragon) is the source of this 712-nucleotide long non-coding RNA. RefSeq lists it as uncharacterized. The transcript is spliced from 4 exons. The record is from RefSeq and is a predicted model, not a curated record. Lineage: Eukaryota; Metazoa; Chordata; Lepidosauria; Squamata; Varanidae.